Molecule: transfer RNA, 87 nt
Filed under: Bacteroidales bacterium
Lineage: Bacteria; Pseudomonadati; Bacteroidota; Bacteroidia; Bacteroidales
Also listed under: 1 other name
Description: tRNA-Leu
Rfam family: tRNA
About the family: Transfer RNA (tRNA) molecules are approximately 80 nucleotides in length. Their secondary structure includes four short double-helical elements and three loops (D, anti-codon, and T loops). Further hydrogen bonds mediate the characteristic L-shaped molecular structure. tRNAs have two regions of fundamental functional importance: the anti-codon, which is responsible for specific mRNA codon recognition, and the 3' end, to which the tRNAs corresponding amino acid is attached (by aminoacyl-tRNA synthetases). tRNAs cope with the degeneracy of the genetic code in two manners: having more than one tRNA (with a specific anti-codon) for a particular amino acid; and 'wobble' base-pairing, i.e. permitting non-standard base-pairing at the 3rd anti-codon position.
Source: RNAcentral
GCAUCAGUGGCGGAACUGGUAGACGCGCUAGACUCAAAAUCUAGUGAGGUAACACUCGUGCCGGUUCGAUUCCGGCCUGAUGUACAA